UCCAACUCCUGUCUAUGGUCCUCGGGGGUACGUCGGGUUCAACGUUGGUCCGGAAUUUCUGUUGGGUAAGGGUUCUUAGUUGGUGUAUUAAGUCAGAUGUGAAAGCUCAGUGCCCAACCCUGUGCGUGCAUUUGAUACUGCUCUGACUAGAGUCCGGUAGGGGAGUGCGGAAUUCCUGGUGUAGCGGUGAAAUGCGCAGAUAUCAGGAGGAACACCGACAGCGAAGGCAGCACUCUGGGCCGGUACUGACACUGAGGAGCGAAAGCAUGGGUAGCAAACAGGAUUAGAUACCCGUGUAGUC
This 301-nucleotide ribosomal RNA is filed under the name uncultured Sporohalobacter sp. RNAcentral describes it as "bacterial SSU rRNA". The stretch from base 52 to 301 matches the Rfam family "Bacterial small subunit ribosomal RNA", at positions 547 to 795 of the family's 1533-position model. The record is from RNAcentral. Lineage: Bacteria; Bacillati; Bacillota; Clostridia; Halanaerobiales; Halobacteroidaceae.